Molecule: ribosomal RNA, 253 nt
Filed under: uncultured bacterium
Lineage: Bacteria
Description: partial 16S ribosomal RNA
Rfam family: Bacterial small subunit ribosomal RNA
Source: RNAcentral
UACGAAGGGGGCGAGCGUUGUUCGGAUUUACUGGGCGUAAAGGGCGCGCAGGCGGCAGACCAAGUCAGGCGUGAAAGCCCCGGGCUUAACCUGGGAGGUGCGUCUGGGACUGGUAUGCUAGAGUUCGGGAGAGGAGAGUGGAAUUCCCAGUGUAGAGGUGAAAUUCGUAGAUAUUGGGAAGAACACCGGUGGCGAAGGCGGCUCUCUGGACCGAGACUGACGCUGAGGCGCGAAAGCAUGGGGAGCAAACAGG